UACGGAGGGUGCAAACGUUGCUCGGAAUUAUUGGGCGUAAAGCGCGCGUAGGCGGCCUAGCAAGUUGGGUGUGAAAGCCCGGGGCUCAACCCCGGAAGUGCAUCCAAAACUGCGAGGCUUGAGUCCCGGAGGGGCCCAGAGAAUUCCCGGUGUAGAGGUGAAAUUCGUAGAUAUCGGGAGGAAUACCAGUGGCGAAGGCGCUGGGCUGGACGGGUACUGACGCUGAGGUGCGAAAGCGUGGGGAGCAAACAGGAUUAGAUACCCUCGUA
RNAcentral lists this ribosomal RNA (269 nucleotides) under uncultured prokaryote. Its description in RNAcentral is "partial 16S ribosomal RNA". It matches the Rfam family "Bacterial small subunit ribosomal RNA", at positions 524 to 792 of the family's 1533-position model. The record is from RNAcentral.